RNAcentral lists this unclassified non-coding RNA (332 nucleotides) under soil metagenome. Its description in RNAcentral is "partial contains 5.8S ribosomal RNA, internal transcribed spacer 2, and large subunit ribosomal RNA". The stretch from base 1 to 120 matches the Rfam family "5.8S ribosomal RNA", at positions 35 to 154 of the family's 154-position model. The record is from RNAcentral.
GAUGAAGAACGUAGCGAAAUGCGAUACGUAAUGUGAAUUGCAGAUUUCAGUGAAUCAUCGAAUCUUUGAACGCACAUUGCGCCCGCUAGUAUUCUGGCGGGCAUGCCUGUUCGAGCGUCAUUUCAACCAUCAAGCCCUAGGCUUGCGUUGGAGCCCUGCGGCUGCCGCAGGCUCCCAAAUCCAGUGGCGGGCUCGUCGUCGUACCGAGUGCAGUAAACAUCCUCGCUCAGGGAACGUGACGGGUUCUUGCCGUGAAACCCCCCACAUAUCAAGGUUGACCUCGGUUCAGGUAGGAAUACCCGCUGAACUUAAGCAUAUCAAUAAGCGGAGGA